RNAcentral lists this transfer RNA (68 nucleotides) under pig gut metagenome. The stretch from base 6 to 63 matches the Rfam family "tRNA", at positions 8 to 63 of the family's 71-position model. Rfam says of the family: Transfer RNA (tRNA) molecules are approximately 80 nucleotides in length. The record is from RNAcentral.
CGCUUUAGCUCAGUCGGUAGAGCAACUCAUUCGUAAUGAGUAGGUCGCGGGUUCGAGUCCCGUUCGCG